CCUGGCUCAGGACGAACGCUGGCGGCGCGCCUAACACAUGCAAGUCGAACGAGAGAUGAGGAGCUUGCUCUUCAAAUCGAGUGGCGAACGGGUGAGUAACGCGUGAGGAACCUGCCUCAAAGAGGGGGACAACAGUUGGAAACGACUGCUAAUACCGCAUAAGCCCACGGCUCGGCAUCGAGCAGAGGGAAAAGGAGCAAUCCGCUUUGAGAUGGCCUCGCGUCCGAUUAGCUGGUUGGUGAGGUAACGGCCCACCAAGGCGACGAUCGGUAGCCGGACUGAGAGGUUGAACGGCCACAUUGGGACUGAGACACGGCCCAGACUCCUACGGGAGGCAGCAGUGGGGAAUAUUGCACAAUGGGGGAAACCCUGAUGCAGCGACGCCGCGUGGAGGAAGAAGGUCUUCGGAUUGUAAACUCCUGUUGUUGAGGAAGAUAAUGACGGUACUCAACAAGGAAGUGACGGCUAACUACGUGCCAGCAGCCGCGGUAAAACGUAGGUCACAAGCGUUGUCCGGAAUUACUGGGUGUAAAGGGAGCGCAGGCGGGAGAACAAGUUGGAAGUGAAAUCCAUGGGCUCAACCCAUGAACUGCUUUCAAAACUGUUUUUCUUGAGUAGUGCAGAGGUAGGCGGAAUUCCCGGUGUAGCGGUGGAAUGCGUAGAUAUCGGGAGGAACACCAGUGGCGAAGGCGGCCUACUGGGCACCAACUGACGCUGAGGCUCGAAAGUGUGGGUAGCAAACAGGAUUAGAUACCCUGGUAGUCCACACCGUAAACGAUGAUUACUAGGUGUUGGAGGAUUGACCCCUUCAGUGCCGCAGUUAACACAAUAAGUAAUCCACCUGGGGAGUACGACCGCAAGGUUGAAACUCAAAGGAAUUGACGGGGGCCCGCACAAGCAGUGGAGUAUGUGGUUUAAUUCGACGCAACGCGAAGAACCUUACCAAGUCUUGACAUCCCUUGACGAACAUAGAAAUAUGUUUUCUCUUCGGAGCAAGGAGACAGGUGGUGCAUGGUUGUCGUCAGCUCGUGUCGUGAGAUGUUGGGUUAAGUCCCGCAACGAGCGCAACCCUUAUGGUCAGUUACUACGCAAGAGGACUCUGGCCAGACUGCCGUUGACAAAACGGAGGAAGGUGGGGAUGACGUCAAAUCAUCAUGCCCUUUAUGACUUGGGCUACACACGUACUACAAUGGCGUUAAACAAAGAGAAGCAAGACCGCGAGGUGGAGCAAAACUCAGAAACAACGCCCCAGUUCGGACUGCAGGCUGCAACUCGCCUGCACGAAGUCGGAAUUGCUAGUAAUCGUGGAUCAGCAUGCCACGGUGAAUACGUUCCCGGGCCUUGUACACACCGCCC
This 1356-nucleotide ribosomal RNA is filed under the name uncultured bacterium. RNAcentral's name for it is "bacterial SSU rRNA". It matches the Rfam family "Bacterial small subunit ribosomal RNA", at positions 18 to 1395 of the family's 1533-position model. The record is from RNAcentral.